CCGGCACGGGUGAGUAGCACGUAUCCAACCUGCCGUCUACUCUUGGCCAGCCUUCUGAAAGGAAGAUUAAUCCAGGAUGGGAUCAUGAGUUCACAUGUCCGCAUGAUUAAAGGUAUUUUCCGGUAGACGAUGGGGAUGCGUUCCAUUAGAUAGUAGGCGGGGUAACGGCCCACCUAGUCAACGAUGGAUAGGGGUUCUGAGAGGAAGGUCCCCCACAUUGGAACUGAGACACGGUCCAA
Molecule: ribosomal RNA, 239 nt
Filed under: uncultured bacterium
Lineage: Bacteria
Description: partial 16S ribosomal RNA
Rfam family: Bacterial small subunit ribosomal RNA
Source: RNAcentral